GACGGAGGAUGCAAGCGUUAUCCGGAAUUAUUGGGCGUAAAGCGUCCGUAGGCGGUUUCAAAAGUCUGUUGUUAAAGCCCACAGCUCAACUGUGGAUCGGCAAUGGAAACUGUGAGACUAGAGAGUGGUAGGGGUAGAGGGAAUUCCUAGUGUAGCGGUGAAAUGCGUAGAUAUCGGGAGGAACACCAGCGGCGAAGGCGGCUUUCUGGACCAAUACUGACGCUGAGACGCGAAAGCGUGGGGAGCAAACAGG
This 253-nucleotide ribosomal RNA is filed under the name uncultured bacterium. RNAcentral describes it as "partial 16S ribosomal RNA". It matches the Rfam family "Bacterial small subunit ribosomal RNA", at positions 524 to 776 of the family's 1533-position model. The record is from RNAcentral.